RNAcentral lists this unclassified non-coding RNA (898 nucleotides) under Hevea brasiliensis (rubber tree). The record is from RNAcentral. Lineage: Eukaryota; Viridiplantae; Streptophyta; Magnoliopsida; Malpighiales; Euphorbiaceae.
AAAAACAGAAAUCAAUUCACUUUCUCAAACUAUUUUCACAUACAAAUUAUUCUUUGCUAAACAAAAAAGCCUAAAUGUCAUCACAAUUCAAGAAGAAAACAUGUUAAAACCAGCAAAGUGGAAAAUCUCUUCAAUGGUCACCGUGAACAUGUAGUCAUCCUCAAUACACCAGUUCUUAUAAUUGCUAAAACAGCAGUCGACUUCAAGCUUGAUGCAGACUUCUAAUUCAGAAUAUAAGAAAGAAUUGGAAACCCGGAUGUGUUGAAACUCUAUUGGCUGCCAAUUUGCCAUAUCUGCCUAUGUUCAACUGACAAGUUUUCUCAAUACUGCUUCAGCACGGCUGCUCAAAUUUGGGUAGGGCCCAUUCAUGCUGGAUUAUGUCAAGACUGUCUUUCUCAGCACUCAAGCUCUUUGUUGGAUCGGAUCAAAGCCAAAUCCACUCAUUUGCAUCAUGCGUUGUGUAUCGUCCAUAGCAUUUUCUUCACCAAGAAUGAGACUAAAUAAACCCCUUAAUCCAAACAAAUUAAGGAAAUACCAUGAACGACUACUGACAUAACUAACAUCAACAGUGCUCAAGUCAAUCCCAUUUUGCAACAUUGAUCCUGAACCUCUGAGUCAGAGGAAAGGGUAUCUUAGCUGCAACAAAUCCAGAGAAGAAAAAGUUGACCCACGCAAAAGUAAGAGUCUGAGGUAUAAUCAUAGAAAGGUUUUUUUUCAUCAUAUCCAUGGCCAUAUUUGGAUCAGAGAACAUUUGUGCUUGUGCAUUUUGUGCCUGGCCUUUCGGAACAAAUAACAAUCCAUUUUCCUCGUUGCUGAAAUAAACCCUUCGAGCACGAAACGCCUUAGGAGGUAUAAAAUUAGCGCCAGAGCGCAAAUUCCGAGCCCUGACAAUUACUUG